Molecule: transfer RNA, 73 nt
Filed under: Capra hircus (goat)
Lineage: Eukaryota; Metazoa; Chordata; Mammalia; Artiodactyla; Bovidae
Also listed under: 1 other name
Rfam family: tRNA
About the family: Transfer RNA (tRNA) molecules are approximately 80 nucleotides in length. Their secondary structure includes four short double-helical elements and three loops (D, anti-codon, and T loops). Further hydrogen bonds mediate the characteristic L-shaped molecular structure. tRNAs have two regions of fundamental functional importance: the anti-codon, which is responsible for specific mRNA codon recognition, and the 3' end, to which the tRNAs corresponding amino acid is attached (by aminoacyl-tRNA synthetases). tRNAs cope with the degeneracy of the genetic code in two manners: having more than one tRNA (with a specific anti-codon) for a particular amino acid; and 'wobble' base-pairing, i.e. permitting non-standard base-pairing at the 3rd anti-codon position.
Source: Rfam by way of RNAcentral
UCCCUGGUGGUCUAGGGAUUAAGACUCUGCGUUUCCACUGCAGGGGGCACAGGUUCAAUCCCUGGUUAGGGAA